UACGAAGGGGGCUAGCGUUGUUCGGAAUCACUGGGCGUAAAGCGCACGUAGGCGGAUGUGUCAGUCAGGGGUGAAAUCCCGGAGCUCAACUUCGGAACUGCCUUUGAUACAGCACGUCUUGAGUCCGGAAGAGGUGGGUGGAAUUCCUAGUGUAGAGGUGAAAUUCGUAGAUAUUAGGAAGAACACCGGUGGCGAAGGCGGCCCACUGGUCCAUGACUGACGCUGAGGCUCGAAAGCGUGGGGAGCAAACAGG
This 253-nucleotide ribosomal RNA is filed under the name uncultured prokaryote. RNAcentral describes it as "partial 16S ribosomal RNA". It matches the Rfam family "Bacterial small subunit ribosomal RNA", at positions 524 to 776 of the family's 1533-position model. The record is from RNAcentral.